RNAcentral lists this ribosomal RNA (251 nucleotides) under uncultured bacterium. RNAcentral describes it as "partial 16S ribosomal RNA". It matches the Rfam family "Bacterial small subunit ribosomal RNA", at positions 525 to 775 of the family's 1533-position model. The record is from RNAcentral. RNAcentral also lists the same sequence under 1 other name.
ACGGAGGAUCCGAGCGUUAUCCGGAUUUAUUGGGUUUAAAGGGAGCGUAGGCGGACGCUUAAGUCAGUUGUGAAAGUUUGCGGCUCAACCGUAAAAUUGCAGUUGAUACUGGGUGUCUUGAGUACAGUAGAGGCAGGCGGAAUUCGUGGUGUAGCGGUGAAAUGCUUAGAUAUCACGAAGAACUCCGAUUGCGAAGGCAGCUUGCUGGACUGUAACUGACGCUGAUGCUCGAAAGUGUGGGUAUCAAACAG